RNAcentral lists this small RNA (27 nucleotides) under Bombyx mori (domestic silkworm). RNAcentral describes it as "ovarian small RNA-16629". Lineage: Eukaryota; Metazoa; Arthropoda; Insecta; Lepidoptera; Bombycidae. The record is from RNAcentral.
GCCCAGAUAACGGACCCUUUCUUUGGC